Molecule: small RNA, 52 nt
Filed under: Filomicrobium insigne
Lineage: Bacteria; Pseudomonadati; Pseudomonadota; Alphaproteobacteria; Hyphomicrobiales; Hyphomicrobiaceae
Also listed under: 1 other name
Description: ffh sRNA
Rfam family: ffh sRNA
Source: RNAcentral
AGGCAAAGGAGGCAACAUCCGCCGGCGAGUUUCGCCCGCGGGUGCUUUUUUG